RNAcentral lists this ribosomal RNA (443 nucleotides) under uncultured bacterium. Its description in RNAcentral is "partial 16S ribosomal RNA". It matches the Rfam family "Bacterial small subunit ribosomal RNA", at positions 338 to 795 of the family's 1533-position model. The record is from RNAcentral.
CCUACGGGAGGCAGCAGUGGGGAAUAUUGGACAAUGGGGGGAACCCUGAUCCAGCGACGCCGCGUGAGUGAAGAAGUAUUUCGGUAUGUAAAGCUCUAUCAGCAGGGAAGAAAGAAAUGACGGUACCUGACUAAGAACCCCCGGCUAACUACGUGCCAGCAGCCGCGGGAAUACGUAGGGGGCAAGCGUUAUCCGGAUUUACUGGGUGUAAAGGGAGCGUAGACGGCGAUGCAAGUCUGAAGUGAAAGGCGGGGGCCCAACCCCUGGACUGCUUUGGAAACUGUAUGGCUGGAGUGCAGGAGAGGUAAGUGGAAUUCCUAGUGUAGCGGUGAAAUGCGUAGAUAUUAGGAGGAACACCAGUGGCGAAGGCGGCUUACUGGACUGUAACUGACGUUGAGGCUCGAAAGCGUGGGGAGCAAACAGGAUUAGAUACCCCAGUAGUC